Molecule: ribosomal RNA, 433 nt
Filed under: uncultured bacterium
Lineage: Bacteria
Description: partial 16S ribosomal RNA
Rfam family: Bacterial small subunit ribosomal RNA
Source: RNAcentral
AACGAACGCUGGCGGCAUGCCUAACACAUGCAAGUCGAACGAGACCUUCGGGUCUAGUGGCGCACGGGUGCGUAACGCGUGGGAACCUGCCCUUAGGUUCGGAAUAACUCCCCGAAAGGGGUGCUAAUACCGGAUAAUGUCUUCGGACCAAAGAUUUAUCGCCUUUGGAUGGGCCCGCGUUGGAUUAGCUAGUUGGUAGGGUAAAAGCCUACCAAGGCGACGAUCCAUAGCUGGUCUGAGAGGAGGAUCAGCCACACUGGGACUGAGACACGGCCCAGACUCCUACGGGAGGCAGCAGUGGGGAAUAUUGGACAAUGGGCGAAAGCCUGAUCCAGCAAUGCCGCGUGAGUGAUGAAGGCCUUAGGGUUGUAAAGCUCCUUUACCCGGGAUGAUAAUGACAGUACCGGGAGAAUAAGCUCCGGCUAACUCCGUG